ACUCUGACGCAGCCAUGCCGCGUGCAGGAAGAAGGCGCUACGCGUUGUAACUGCUUUUAUCCGGGAAGAAACCCCAGGACGUGUCCUGGGUUGACGGUACCGGAGGAAUAAGCACCGGCUAACUUCGUGCCAGCAGCCGCGGUAAUAC
This 148-nucleotide ribosomal RNA is filed under the name uncultured bacterium. RNAcentral's name for it is "partial 16S ribosomal RNA". It matches the Rfam family "Bacterial small subunit ribosomal RNA", at positions 380 to 526 of the family's 1533-position model. The record is from RNAcentral.